CUACCCGGCACCGCCACAGCACGACCUAGUGCCCCCAGCAUAUCAGCAGGUGCCACCACAGGACCCCCCAGUCUAUCCCCAGCCGGGUCCAGUCCCUCCUCCACGGGACCCCGCUCCUUCCUUGAUCGAUCCGGGCUACAUAGAGAGGUACAGGAGACUGAACCCCUCCACCUUUGCAGGGGGAUCCUCUUUUGAAGAGGCCCAGUACUGGCUGGCGGAGACUGAGAGAGCUUUUAGGACCUUGGGAGUAGUUCCUGAGCAGAG
RNAcentral lists this long non-coding RNA (264 nucleotides) under Carica papaya (papaya). Its description in RNAcentral is "long non-coding RNA (CPAP_LNC015025)". The record is from RNAcentral. Lineage: Eukaryota; Viridiplantae; Streptophyta; Magnoliopsida; Brassicales; Caricaceae.